This 2735-nucleotide ribosomal RNA is filed under the name Pseudo-nitzschia micropora. Its description in RNAcentral is "23S ribosomal RNA". It matches the Rfam family "Bacterial large subunit ribosomal RNA". The record is from RNAcentral. Lineage: Eukaryota; Bacillariophyta; Bacillariophyceae; Bacillariales; Bacillariaceae.
UACAGCAUUAAAAGGAUGCUUAAGCAUUAAGACUUCAUAUGGGCGUUUAAAAACGAAAUAUUGUAGGGAGCAAGUUAUUAUGUUUAGAUCUGCAAUUCCCCAUAAAUUCGGAAAACUGAUCUUCAACUAAAGAAGAAUUACUUGAAAUCAAUUUUUAAGUAAAAGAUUUGGUGAACUGAAUCAUCUAAGUAACCAAAAUUCAAAAAUCAAACGAGGUGCUGCUAGUAGUGGCGAGCGAACGUAGUAAUAGACUUGAAAAUUAAUGAAUUUAUUUAAUAUUUGUAAUAGCCAUAGCAUGGUAACCUAAAAGAUAGGACAGCCCUGUGAAAUAAAUUUUAGAUUUUCAUCUAGUAAAAUAAACUAAGUCAUAGUUUGUUUGAAUAUUGGGGGACCACCCUCAAAGUCUAAAAAUCUUAAUGACUGAUAGUGAAUAGUACCGUGAGGGAAAAGUGAAAAAGACUUUGCGAAAGUGAAAAGACUUUGAAAUUUAAUGCUAACAAUCUGUCGUAGUUUUUAAAAAUGACGACGUACCUUUUGCAUAAUGGACCAACAAGUUUAUUUUAGUGGCGAGCUUAAGUAAUUAGAUACGUAGGCGCAAAGAAAUUAAGUUUUAAAAGGCUAUUUUUAGUCUCUAGAAUAAGACCCGAAACUAAGUGAUCUAGUCAUGAACUGGUUGAAGUUUAGGCGGAAACGCCUUUCGGAGGACCGAACCCGUGUAUGUGGAAAAAUACUGGGAUGAUUUGUGAUUAGGGGUGAAAGGCCAAUCAAACUUAGAGAUAGCUGGUUUUCUGCGAAAUCUAUUUUAGUAGAGCGUUUAAAUAACUUUUUUAAAGGUAGAGCUCUCGAUAAACGAUGGGGACUUAACGUUUUACUGAAUUUAUUGAAACUUCGAAUGUUAAUUAUAAUGAAUUUAAACAGACAGACUGUGAGUGCUAAGAUUCAUGGUCAAGAGGGAAACAGCCCAGAUUACUAACUAAGGCUCUUAAAAAUAAUUAAGUGAAAAAAUUGUGAAAAAAUGUUGACAACCGAAAAGUAGGCUUAGAGGCAGCCACCUUUUAAAGAAAGCGUAACAGCUCAUUGGUUUAGUUUUUUUGCGUUGAAAAUGUAUGGAACUAAAAUUAUUUGCCGAAGUUGUAAAUUUAUGAAAAUUAAAUGGUAGCAGAACGUUCUGUAAGUCUAAGAAGUUUUAUAGUUAUAUAAAAUGGAGACAUCAGAAAUGAUAAUGUUGGUAUGAGUAACGACAAACAAUGUGUAAAACAUUGUCGCCUUAAGUUCAAGGUUUCCAAAACAAGGCUAAUCCGUUUUGGUAUACAAUUUAUUGUUAAUCGGUCUCUAAGGACAAGAACGAAAGUUCUGAUUCAAUGAGAAAAAAAUUAUUUUUUAUUUCUUAAAAGUGACAAAAUAUGAAUGUUAUUUCUAUUUCAUGGUUUAAAUAAAAGUUUCAUAGUAUUUUCUGGAAAUAGCUUUUAAGUUUAUUAACCGUACCCCAAACCGACACAGGUGAACAAGUUUAGUAAACUAAGGCGCUUGAGAGAACUAUGUUGAAGGAACUCGGCAAAAUGACUCCGUAACUUCGGAAUAAGGAGUGACUUUAUAAGGGCAACCUUAUAGAGUUGUCACAAAAUCGGGGACAGCGACUGUUUAUUAAAAACACAGGUUUCUGCUAAUUCGCAAGAAGACGUAUUGAAACUGACGCCUGCCCAGUGCUGCAAGAUUAAAGGAAAAAGUCAUUUGGCUUUGACCCUAACUCCCAGUAAACGGCGGCUGUAACUCUGACGGUCCUAAGGUAGCGAAAUUCCUUGGCAUUUGAUUGGUGUCCUGCAUGAAUGGCGUAACGACUGUCCUACUGUCUCCAACAUAGACUCAGUGAAAUUGAAUUUUUCGUGAAGAUGCGAAAUUCUUGCAGCUAGACGGAAAGACCCCGUGCACCUUUACUGCAGUUAUACAUUGUAAUAAGAUUUUUUUUGUGUAGCAUAAGUGGGAAGUUAUUAAUUAUAGCUCUUUGCGCAAGCAAAUAAGUUAAACAUCAUUGAAAUACCACUCUAAAAAUUUUUUAUUACUUAUUGUUUAAGACAGUGUAUAAUGGGUAGUUUGACUGGGGCGGUCGCCUCCUAAAGAGUAACGGAGGCGUACAAAGGUAAACUUAAGUUGAACUUUAACAACUUUAAAGCAUAAUAGUAUAUGUUUGCCUGACUGUAAGAUUGACAAAUCAAGCAGGGACGAAAGUCGGUUAUAGUGAUCCGAUGAUUCUGAGUGGAAAUGGUCAUCGCUCAACGAAUAAAAGGUACGCCGGGGAUAACAGGCUAAUCACCCUCUAGAGACCAUAUCGACGGGGUGGUUUGGCACCUCGAUGUUGGAUUAUCGCAUCCUGGAGCUGAAGAAGGUUCCAAGGGUUUGGCUGUUCGCCAAUGAAGGCGGUACAUGAUCUGAGUUUAGAACGUUGUGAAACAGUUUGGUCCCUAUCUACUGCAAGUGCAAAAAAUUGAGAGGGGUAAACCUUAGUACGAGAGGACCGGGAAAAGUAAAUCCAUGGUGAAUCGAUUGUUAUACCAAUAGCAUAGUCGAGUAGCUACAUUUAUAAUAAAUAAUCACUGAAAGCAUCUAAGUGAGAAAUUAGCCUCAAUACAAAUUUUUUUUUAAAACGUGAUAGACUAUUACGUUGAUAGGCCUGGUGUGUAAGAAUUGUAAGAUUUUCAGCUAACAGGUACUAAAUUAAUUUUAAAAUACUUUUUAUA